Molecule: ribosomal RNA, 435 nt
Filed under: uncultured bacterium
Lineage: Bacteria
Description: partial 16S ribosomal RNA
Rfam family: Bacterial small subunit ribosomal RNA
Source: RNAcentral
AGCGAACGCUGGCGGCAGGCUUAACACAUGCAAGUCGAGCGGGCGUAGCAAUACGUCCGCGGCAGACGGGUGAGUAACGCGUGGGAACGUACCUUUUGGUUCGGAACAACACAGGGAAACUUGUGCUAAUACCGGAUAAGCCCUUACGGGGAAAGAUUUAUCGCCGAAAGAUCGGCCCGCGUCUGAUUAGCUAGUUGGUGAGGUAACGGCUCACCAAGGCGACGAUCAGUAGCUGGUCUGAGAGGAUGAUCAGCCACAUUGGGACUGAGACACGGCCCAAACUCCUACGGGAGGCAGCAGUGGGGAAUAUUGGACAAUGGGGGCAACCCUGAUCCAGCCAUGCCGCGUGAGUGAUGAAGGCCCUAGGGUUGUAAAGCUCUUUUGUGCGGGAAGAUAAUGACGGUACCGCAAGAAUAAGCCCCGGCUAACUUCGUG